AGUGAACGCUGGCGGUAGGCCUAACACAUGCAAGUCGAACGGCAGCACAGUAAGAGCUUGCUCUUACGGGUGGCGAGUGGCGGACGGGUGAGGAAUACAUCGGAAUCUACUUUUUCGUGGGGGAUAACGUAGGGAAACUUACGCUAAUACCGCAUACGACCUACGGGUGAAAGCAGGGGAUCUUCGGACCUUGCGCGAUUGAAUGAGCCGAUGUCGGAUUAGCUAGUUGGCGGGGUAAAGGCCCACCAAGGCGACGAUCCGUAGCUGGUCUGAGAGGAUGAUCAGCCACACUGGAACUGAGACACGGUCCAGACUCCUACGGGAGGCAGCAGUGGGGAAUAUUAGACAAUGGGCGGAAGCCUGAUCCAACCAUACCGCGUGGGUGAAGAAGGCCUUCGGGUUGUAAAGCCCUUUUGUUGGGAAAGAAAAGCAGCAGGUUAAUACCCCGCUGUUCUGACGGUACCCAAAGAAUAAGCACCGGCUAACUUCGUG
Molecule: ribosomal RNA, 492 nt
Filed under: uncultured bacterium
Lineage: Bacteria
Description: partial 16S ribosomal RNA
Rfam family: Bacterial small subunit ribosomal RNA
Source: RNAcentral